CCUUUAGCGCAAUGGAUAGCUCGUUGGACUUCUAAUCCAAAGGUCGUGGUUUCGAAUUCCAACCGAGCUGGC
This 72-nucleotide transfer RNA is filed under the name Trichonephila inaurata madagascariensis. Its description in RNAcentral is "tRNA-Arg". The stretch from base 5 to 63 matches the Rfam family "tRNA", at positions 8 to 63 of the family's 71-position model. From Rfam's summary of the family: Transfer RNA (tRNA) molecules are approximately 80 nucleotides in length. Their secondary structure includes four short double-helical elements and three loops (D, anti-codon, and T loops). The record is from RNAcentral. Lineage: Eukaryota; Metazoa; Arthropoda; Arachnida; Araneae; Nephilidae.